AGGAGUGGCGGCCCUUUCUUCUAAUCCUGGCUUCUCAGUCCACAAGCCAACCUCCUCUCCUCUCCAUAAGCUACCUCUCUCUCUCUCUCUCUCUCUCUCUCUCUCUCUCUCUCUGUGCUCAAGAUCACAUCCCUCAGGUUCAUUAGCUUGAUGAUGCUGUGGUGAUCAAACUGUGUGAUUUAAUGAAAUAUUGUGUUCAUUAGUGAUGAACUUUAGGUUUCCUAGUAAUGUCCCCUGGUUUGGGGCAAAUUCAAACAAUGAUUUGGAGACAGCCGUUAAAACAGCAGGCGUCCUAAGCAAAUCAACCAAAGAAAGGGCUUUUUUUGAUGUGAAGCUGUGGGGAUGGUCCCUCCUCUCAAUUGUUCCUUGGGCUAUCAGUGCCAGAGACAAAAUCUGGAAAUUGUCUACUUUAAAUAAAGAGUUGAAGAAGCCCUCACGACGUUAUCGGACUGUUGAAUAUGGUAGCAGGCCCUCUCCUGUACGAUUUAGACCAUAUGUUGGCAAGGUCCCAUGGCAUACAGGUGCAAGAGCCUUCCUUUCUCAGCUAUUUCCACGAUAUGGGCAUUACUGUGGACCUAACUGGUCGAGUGGGAAGGAUGGUGGUUCCCUUCUUUGGGAUAAACGUCCAAUUGAUUGGUUAGACUUUUGCUGCUAUUGCCAUGACAUUGGUUAUGACACUCAUGAUCAGGCCAGCCUUCUGAAGGCUGACUUAGCUUUUCUGGAAUGCCUGGAGAGGCCUCAGAUGAGUACAAAGGGAGAUCCUCAUGUUGCUCAGCUUUAUAAGACAAUGUGCAUCACUGGUCUCAAGAAUGUACUAAUACCAUAUAGAAGACACCUUGUAGACUUGAGGUCAGAGCAAUCCAAUAUUUUGUUUGGUUGGCUAAGCAAUGUAAAAUGGAGAGGUUGGAACCCUCCUGGAGAAAGUUGAAAUCGUAGAUAUGACACAGUUCCUCCAAUGGGGAAUUGCAGAAGAUGGAUUUUAACCGAACACUCAACUCUUGACAGAUUAUUGGUUGAAGACUUCUUGCUUGACUACAAAAUUAUAUAAAUGCAGUUCACUUUCAACCAUCUCGUUAUCAUAUGGUUCACAAUUCAUAACCUUAUAGCAGUCAAUUCAUGAGCUUUGUCUGGAUGAUCGUACACUUUAUUCAAGGAAACAACUUGAAGAUAUUCUGCUUAUAUUUGAAUGCAUUCCCUUUCUUCCCUUUCUUCCCUUUCAGAUUCAUUUUUAGAUAUAUAGUUACUAUAAAGGACAACACCAUGUCCAUCUUCUUAUUCAGGCAAGUGUAAGACCCAAAGUUUUUAGACCUGCAACCUCAAAGCUUUCAAUUGAAUUAAGCUUGCAUGGGCCAAGACCAAGUUGGCUAUGAUUGGGGAUUUAAUCCUUAUUUUUCCUUUUUGUUUUUCUAAGAUGUAGAAUUCAUUUUGCUGGGUAACUGUCUAAGGCACUUGAUUGACCAUACUUUAGUUCAUGUUUCAGAGAAAUGGCUGAUUCUGAAGCAGAGAUAGGCCCUGUAAUGUAAUUUUUGUUCAUAGUUGAAAGCGCUCUGUGUGCAAUUUUUGUUCACAUUCGAAAGCUCAAAAAAUUGAUAGUCUCCCAUGGCAUAGACAGGAAGUAAAUUGGAGCACCUCAUUGCAGUGAUGGGAGUGCUGGUUGUAUUUGUUGAUAGGAAACUAACUCAACCAUAAUGAGCAAGCAGCAUAAGUUGAUAAACCCUUUUUAUCCUUAGCUAUAUAUUGGCUCAGAACAAGGUUUUUAUUUUUUUUUGGUUAGAAAAAUUGGUGGUGUCCAUGGGUGCUAUUGGGAAGUAUCAUCGGUUAUUCUGGUGCAGAUCAAAUUACUGGUAGUAUCUGAUGGUUUACAGUGCUACUGUAACUCACAUGGCUCAUGCUAUAAGUUGGUAAGAGUUAAGCAAGAAAAGGUUUCUAUCAAAUGUUGCAUUCAAAAGGCUAAUAUUGAAGAAUAUAUUUGAAAACCGUAUGGUGAUACAGAUGGUUGAGGGAAAGGGGAAAAUGCAAUGGAGCAGAAAUGAGUUGGAUGCAAGAAGCCCUUGUGAGGCAAUAGGGCUAUGUGGUUAUUUUUGUAGAGUUUGUUGUGUUUAGGCAUUUAAGUCCUUGUUAACUAGCAAUGGUGCUAGGGCUACAACACACUUAUUGUGUUUGAUUAAAGUUAAUAGUUUGAGAUGGAGGACAAAUUUUGAUCCAGGGGAGAAAAAAAAAAUUUGGACCAUUUCUCGAUUUGUGCGCGUCAUCCUUGCGCAGGGGCCAUGCUAAUCUUCUCUGUAUUGUUCCAAUUUUAUCGAAUGUCUCCGAAUAGAAGUUUUAGUGGGAGAGCUGGUACAUAUGAAGACAUUGCUGGCUUCAUAAUUUUUCGAUGUGGGACAACUCAAAAGGAGAACAACAUGGAACUCCAAUACCUUUCAUGGGGGCCCACAACCUGUAGGUGAGGUCUACUUCUCAGGUCUGACUUCUCAUUGCUUCUUUUGUUGUUUGCUUUGGUUGCUGAUAUAUUAUUUUUAUUUGUUUAUUUAAUUGUUGUAUUUUUAUCUUCCAAACAAUGAAAGAAAAAAUUCUCAAUUUUUUUAUUUGAUUUUGAAUGAACAAAAUUGAAGAAAAAAAUUAUAAUAAAAUAAAAAUUUUAAACUAGAAUAAUUGUGACAAAAGUUAGGAGGAGAGUGAAUGAAGAUUUAUUUGUUUAUAUUUUAUUUGGUUAGAACGCUCAAUGCUAAUAACUGCAUUCAUUAUUAUUUAGAUUCACAUGGUUGAAAAGGAUUCAGGGCUUAUUACAGAACUGAAAAACAAUUCUAUCCAAUUUUUUAAGGCUUCAUGGUUAGAAUUAUUGGUUUGAGUGAUUAGAGUUUUGAUUGGAACUUUAGUGGAAGGCCUGAAAGAAGUGAAAUCACAAGGUGUUCCUAACCUUAUGGUGGAUGAGAGAGAAUUUAUUGACAAAGCUUUCUUGGGUGUCUCAGGAAAAGGGAGGGUUAUGGAGAUAUAUACCCAUUGAUUUGAACCAGGGGGCUGAAAAGAUGGUGAAAGGCCUCUCAUCAAUUACCUUUUUUGGGGAGUUUCUCCUGAGAUUCUCCAUAUUUGGCUUCGAUUAUAGUGGUAGAUGUGGGGACAUCAUUCUGGUGCAGGUCAAUUUGCAGAUUGAUAACAAUCAUCUGGUGGCUUAUAAUGCUUCUGCAAUUAUAAGGUAGGGCAUGUGCAUAUCACAAUUGACAGACUAAUAAUAAAUGAUACAUUAUUUGUAAGUAAUGACUAUGACCCAAUUGCACUCUUAUAUGGAUCCAGUAACCCUUUGGAUAUGGGAUUUCUAGUUC
Molecule: RNA transcript, 3320 nt
Organism: Vitis vinifera (wine grape)
Lineage: Eukaryota; Viridiplantae; Streptophyta; Magnoliopsida; Vitales; Vitaceae
Exons: 5
Source: RefSeq, a predicted model, not a curated record